GAGUUUGAUCAUGGCUCAGGAUGAACGCUAGCGGCAGGCCUAACACAUGCAAGUCGAGGGGUAACAGAGAAGCUUGCUUCUGCUGACGACCGGCGCACGGGUGCGUAACGCGUAUGCAACCUACCUCAUACUGGAGAAUAGCCCUUGGAAACGAGGAUUAAUACUCCAUAGUAUCAUUCUUUCGCAUGUUAGAAUGAUUAAAGAAUUUCGGUAUGAGAUGGGCAUGCGUCCCAUUAGCUAGUUGGUGAGGUAACGGCUCACCAAGGCGACGAUGGGUAGGGGGCCUGAGAGGGUGGUCCCCCACACUGGUACUGAGACACGGACCAGACUCCUACGGGAGGCAGCAGUGAGGAAUAUUGGUCAAUGGAGGCAACUCUGAACCAGCCAUGCCGCGUGAAGGAUGACGGCCCUAUGGGUUGUAAACUUCUUUUAUAUGGGAAGAAACUUAUCUACGUGUAGAUAACUGACGGUACCAUACGAAUAAGGAUCGGCUAACUCCGUGCCAGCAGCCGCGGUAAUACGGAGGAUCCAAGCGUUAUCCGGAUUCAUUGGGUUUAAAGGGUCCGUAGGCGGAUUUUUAAGUCAGUGGUGAAAGCCGGCAGCUUAACUGUCGAACUG
RNAcentral lists this ribosomal RNA (618 nucleotides) under uncultured bacterium. RNAcentral's name for it is "bacterial SSU rRNA". It matches the Rfam family "Bacterial small subunit ribosomal RNA", at positions 9 to 623 of the family's 1533-position model. The record is from RNAcentral.